Molecule: long non-coding RNA, 721 nt
Organism: Melozone crissalis (California towhee)
Lineage: Eukaryota; Metazoa; Chordata; Aves; Passeriformes; Passerellidae
Exons: 3
Source: RefSeq, a predicted model, not a curated record
AUCUAAAGCUCGGUAACUCUGGAUAGGAAGCAUUUGUCAUCCAUAAAAGUGUUGAUUCCAUCUCCAGUAAUCACCCACCCCUCUAAUCCAUCAUACUCCACCUGAUUAAAUGUAAAUCUGAUUAGUUCACAUAAGAACUAAGAACUUCUUAUUCCCUUUGGUAAACACAUCAGUCCAAUGACCUGGGCAUCAAGAGAAACAAGCUUUACACUUUACAGGGGAGAAUCAAUAAUCCCAAGGAUAUGCUGAUUCUAAGUGCUCACAGUCACCAGGAAGGCUGAGGGCAGUUUAUGAGAGAAAUCCUUCAUCUCUUACACUGCUCAGAGCCACAGAUUUGCUUGGUUAGCUGAUCAUGCUUCCUUCAGAAGGCCUAUCUGCUUAAUGCAACAGCUCAAUAAGGCAGCAUUAAUUUUAAUUAACAAAUUGCUUGUACACCUACAGCUCCAUCACAUUGUUGCCGUGGCCAGGGUUAGGAAAUUGUCCGAAGAAAAUAAAUUUGAAGCAACUCAGGCACAGGAAGCCUGGCUACCAGAUUGCCAGAAAAUGUCUUCAGGAUGGCCAGCGUGAGGCUUCCGCCAAGAUUUAUCAACAAAUGAGCCAGGAAAACCCCACAUCAUGGAACCAGGAACCAGGAAAAGGUAAAUUGAUCCAGACCUGCAUGCAUGCAGUAUUUGAUGUCCUUGGCAGCAGGAACCUGUGAUGGCAGCCAGGAUGAGCCCAC